UGGGGAAUAUUGCACAAUCGGGGAAACCCUGAUGCAGCGACGCCGCGUGAGCGAAGAAGGUUUUCGACUCGUAAAGCUCUGUCCUAUAAGAAGAUAAUGACGGUAUCAUAGGAGGAAGCCCUGGCUAAAUACGUGCCAGCAGCCGCGGUAAUACGUAUGGGGCGAGCGUUGUCCGGAAUUAUUGGGCGUAAAGGGUACGUAGGUGGUUUUUUACGUCAGGUGUCAAAGCGUGGAGCUUAACUCCAUUAAGCACUUGAAACUGAAAGACUUGAGUGAAGGAGAGGAAAGUGGAAUUCCUAGUGUAGCGGUGAAAUGCGUAGAUAUUAGGAGGAAUACCGGUGGCGAAGGCGACUUUCUGGACUUUUACUGACGCUCAGGUACGAAAGCGUGGGGAGCAAACAGG
This 403-nucleotide ribosomal RNA is filed under the name Verrucomicrobiota bacterium. Its description in RNAcentral is "Verrucomicrobia bacterium partial 16S ribosomal RNA". It matches the Rfam family "Bacterial small subunit ribosomal RNA", at positions 355 to 776 of the family's 1533-position model. The record is from RNAcentral. Lineage: Bacteria; Pseudomonadati; Verrucomicrobiota.